This 240-nucleotide non-coding RNA is filed under the name Intestinibacter bartlettii. Its description in RNAcentral is "Clostridium bartlettii T-box sequence". It matches the Rfam family "T-box leader". Rfam says of the family: Uncharged tRNA acts as the effector for transcription antitermination of genes in the T-box leader family. Lineage: Bacteria; Bacillati; Bacillota; Clostridia; Peptostreptococcales; Peptostreptococcaceae. The record is from RNAcentral.
ACAAAGACUAUGAAGGGAAGAGUAGUUAUAAAACAAAGUAGUAGCGAGCUGGUUAUGGUGGAAGUCCAGUACAAUGUCUAUAAUGAAGAACAUCCCGGAGUUACUAACCGAAAUCAUAAAGAGAGUAGACUUAGUCGGAGCCAAACCGUUAUAAUUGGUAAUGUAUAUUAGUACAUUAAUGAGGUGAACUUUUAAGUUAAAUUAGGUGGUACCGCGGAAGUGCAGUCUUUCGUCCUAUAG